CCUACGGGAGGCAGCAGUAGGGAAUCUUCCACAAUGGGCGAAAGCCUGAUGGAGCAACGCCGCGUGGGUGAAGAAGGUCUUCGGAUCGUAAAACCCUGUUGUUAGAGAAGAAAGUGCGUGAGAGUAACUGUUCACGUUUCGACGGUAUCUAACCAGAAAGCCACGGCUAACUACGUGCCAGCAGCCGCGGUAAUACGUAGGUGGCAAGCGUUAUCCGGAUUUAUUGGGCGUAAAGGGAACGCAGGCGGUCUUUUAAGUCUGAUGUGAAAGCCUUCGGCUUAACCGGAGUAGUGCAUUGGAAACUGGGAGACGUGAGUGCAGAAGAGGAAAGUGGAACUCCAUGUGUAGCGGUGAAAUGCGUAGAUAUAUGGAAGAACACCAGUGGCGAAAGCGGCUCUCUGGUCUGUAACUGACACUGAGGUUCGAAAGCGUGGGUAGCAAACAGGAUUAGAUACCCCUGUAGUC
This 465-nucleotide ribosomal RNA is filed under the name uncultured bacterium. Its description in RNAcentral is "partial 16S ribosomal RNA". It matches the Rfam family "Bacterial small subunit ribosomal RNA", at positions 338 to 795 of the family's 1533-position model. The record is from RNAcentral.